CGGCGAACGGGUGAGUAACACGUGGGCAACCUGCCCAGUCUGGGGGAUAACACCGGGAAACCGGUGCUAAUACCGCAUACGGUCUUCGAGGACAUCCUCGUCGAAGAAAGCAGCAAUGCGCGACUGGAGGGGCCCGCGGCCUAUCAGCUUGUAGGUGGGGUAACGGCCUACCUAGGCGAUGACGGGUAGCUGGUCUGAGAGGACGACCAGCCACACGGGGACUGAGACACGGCCCCG
RNAcentral lists this ribosomal RNA (237 nucleotides) under uncultured bacterium. RNAcentral describes it as "partial 16S ribosomal RNA". It matches the Rfam family "Bacterial small subunit ribosomal RNA", at positions 96 to 334 of the family's 1533-position model. The record is from RNAcentral.